GAUCCUGGCUCAGGAUGAACGCUAGCUACAGGCUUAACACAUGCAAGUCGAGGGGCAGCAUGUUGGUUGCUUGCAACCAACGAUGGCGACCGGCGCACGGGUGAGUAACGCGUAUCCAACCUUCCGCAUACUCGGGAAUAGCCUUUCGAAAGAAAGAUUAAUGCCCGAUGGUUUCCCGAAUCCGCAUGAGAGCGGGAAUAAAGAUUCAUCGGUGUGCGAUGGGGAUGCGUCCAUUAG
RNAcentral lists this ribosomal RNA (237 nucleotides) under uncultured bacterium. RNAcentral's name for it is "partial 16S ribosomal RNA". It matches the Rfam family "Bacterial small subunit ribosomal RNA", at positions 15 to 244 of the family's 1533-position model. The record is from RNAcentral.